RNAcentral lists this ribosomal RNA (546 nucleotides) under uncultured bacterium. RNAcentral describes it as "partial 16S ribosomal RNA". It matches the Rfam family "Bacterial small subunit ribosomal RNA", at positions 355 to 895 of the family's 1533-position model. The record is from RNAcentral.
UGGGGAAUUUUGGACAAUGGGCGAAAGCCUGAUCCAGCAAUGCCGCGUGUGUGAAGAAGGCCUUCGGGUUGUAAAGCACUUUUGUCCGGAAAGAAAUCCUUGGCUCUAAUACAGUCGGGGGAUGACGGUACCGGAAGAAUAAGCACCGGCUAACUACGUGCCAGCAGCCGCGGUAAUACGUAGGGUGCAAGCGUUAAUCGGAAUUACUGGGCGUAAAGCGUGCGCAGGCGGUUUGCUAAGACCGAUGUGAAAUCCCCGGGCUCAACCUGGGAACUGCAUUGGUGACUGGCAGGCUAGAGUAUGGCAGAGGGGGGUAGAAUUCCACGUGUAGCAGUGAAAUGCGUAGAGAUGUGGAGGAAUACCGAUGGCGAAGGCAGCCCCCUAGGCCAAUACUGACGCUCAUGCACGAAAGCGUGGGGAGCAAACAGGGUUAGAUACCCUGGUAGUCCACGCCCUAAACGAUGUCAACUAGUUGUUGGGGAUUCAUUUCCUAGUAACGUAGCUAACGCGUGAAGUUGACCGCCUGGGGAGUACGGUCGCAAGAUU